Molecule: ribosomal RNA, 568 nt
Filed under: Alternaria alternata
Lineage: Eukaryota; Fungi; Ascomycota; Dothideomycetes; Pleosporales; Pleosporaceae
Description: partial 18S ribosomal RNA
Rfam family: 5.8S ribosomal RNA (bases 195-348)
Source: RNAcentral
UCCGUAGGUGAACCUGCGGAGGGAUCAUUACACAAAUAUGAAGGCGGGCUGGAACCUCUCGGGGUUACAGCCUUGCUGAAUUAUUCACCCUUGUCUUUUGCGUACUUCUUGUUUCCUUGGUGGGUUCGCCCACCACUAGGACAAACAUAAACCUUUGUAAUUGCAAUCAGCGUCAGUAACAAAUUAAUAAUUACAACUUUCAACAACGGAUCUCUUGGUUCUGGCAUCGAUGAAGAACGCAGCGAAAUGCGAUAAGUAGUGUGAAUUGCAGAAUUCAGUGAAUCAUCGAAUCUUUGAACGCACAUUGCGCCCCUUGGUAUUCCAAAGGGCAUGCCUGUUCGAGCGUCAUUUGUACCCUCAAGCUUUGCUUGGUGUUGGGCGUCUUGUCUUAGCUUUGCUGGAGACUCGCCUUAAAGUAAUUGGCAGCCGGCCUACUGGUUUCGGAGCGCAGCACAAGUCGCACUCUCUAUCAGCAAAGGUCUAGCAUCCAUUAAGCCUUUUUUUCAACUUUUGACCUCGGAUCAGGUAGGGAUACCCGCUGAACUUAAGCAUAUCAAUAAGCGGAGGA